UACGUAGGGUGCGAGCGUUAAUCGGAAUUACUGGGCGUAAAGUGUGCGCAGGUGGCCGCGCAAGUCGAGUGUGAAAUCCCCGGGCUUAACUUGGGAAUUGCGCUCGAAACUACGUGGCUAGAGUGUGGCAGAGGGAGGUGGAAUUCCACGUGUAGCGGUGAAAUGCGUAGAGAUGUGGAGGAACACCAAUGGCGAAGGCAGCCUCCUGGGCCAACACUGACACUCAUUCACGAAAGCCGGGGGAGCAAACAGG
This 253-nucleotide ribosomal RNA is filed under the name uncultured bacterium. Its description in RNAcentral is "partial 16S ribosomal RNA". It matches the Rfam family "Bacterial small subunit ribosomal RNA", at positions 524 to 776 of the family's 1533-position model. The record is from RNAcentral.